Molecule: ribosomal RNA, 107 nt
Filed under: bovine gut metagenome
Also listed under: 1 other name
Source: RNAcentral
CGCGGUUAUAGCACUGAGGAACCACCUCUUCCCAUUCCGAACAGAGAAGUUAAGCUCAGUCGCGCUGAUGGUACUGACCUACCAGUUGGGAGAGUAAGUCGCUGCGG